This 1254-nucleotide ribosomal RNA is filed under the name uncultured bacterium. RNAcentral describes it as "bacterial SSU rRNA". It matches the Rfam family "Bacterial small subunit ribosomal RNA", at positions 137 to 1396 of the family's 1533-position model. The record is from RNAcentral.
UCUUGGACAGCCUUCUGAAAGGGAGAUUAAUACAAGAUGUUAUCAUGAGUAAGCAUUUUCGCAUGAUUAAAGGUUUACCGGUGUAAGAUGGGGAUGCGUUCCAUUAGAUAGUAGGCGGGGUAACGGCCCACCUAGUCUUCGAUGGAUAGGGGUUCUGAGAGGAAGGUCCCCCACAUUGGAACUGAGACACGGUCCAAACUCCUACGGGAGGCAGCAGUGAGGAAUAUUGGUCAAUGGACGAGAGUCUGAACCAGCCAAGUAGCGUGAAGGAUGAAGGUUCUAUGGAUUGUAAACUUCUUUUAUACGGGAAUAAACGAAUCCACGUGUGGAUUUUUGCAUGUACCGUAUGAAUAAGGAUCGGCUAACUCCGUGCCAGCAGCCGCGGUAAUACGGAGGAUCCGAGCGUUAUCCGGAUUUAUUGGGUUUAAAGGAGCGUAAAGGGUUGUUAACUCACUUGUGAAAGUUGCGGCUCAACCGUAAAAUUGCAAUUGAUACUGGCAGUCUUGAGUACAGUUGAGGUAGGCGGAAUUCGUGGUGUAGCGGUGAAAUGCUUAGAUAUCACGAAGAACUCCGAUUGCGAAGGCAGCUUACUAACCUGUAACUGACAUUGAUGCUCGAAAGUGUGGGUAUCAAACAGGAUUAGAUACCCUGGUAGUCCACACGGUAAACGAUGAAUACUCGCUGUAGGCGAUAUACAGUCUGCGGCCAAGCGAAAGCAUUAAGUAUUCCACCUGGGGAGUACGCCGGCAACGGUGAAACUCAAAGGAAUUGACGGGGGCCCGCACAAGCGGAGGAACAUGUGGUUUAAUUCGAUGAUACGCGAGGAACCUUACCCGGGCUUAAAUUGCAACCGAAUAUGGCGGAAACGCUAUAGCUAGCAAUAGCGGUUGUGAAGGUGCUGCAUGGUUGUCGUCAGCUCGUGCCGUGAGGUGUCGGCUUAAGUGCCAUAACGAGCGCAACCCUUGCCGAUAGUUACUAACAGGUUAUGCUGAGGACUCUGUCGGGACUGCCAUCGUAAGAUGUGAGGAAGGUGGGGAUGACGUCAAAUCAGCACGGCCCUUACGUCCGGGGCUACACACGUGUUACAAUGGGGGGUACAGAGGGCUGCUACCACGCAAGUGGAUGCCAAUCCCAAAAACCUCUCUCAGUUCGGAUUGAAGUCUGCAACCCGACUUCAUGAAGCUGGAUUCGCUAGUAAUCGCGCAUCAGCCACGGCGCGGUGAAUACGUUCCCGGGCCUUGUACACACCGCCCG